CUUUCCGGCCGGACUGCCGCGCCUGUGGCCGGAAGAGCCAGCUAGACCAGAGAGUCUGUACCUGCAACCCUGGCGGCGUCCGAGCCCAAGGCGGAGUCUGGGAGACAAAGAAGUCCUCGCCGCCGGCCGCUGGAGGAUUCUGCCAGUAGUGAAGUCAGGGAUGGGCCCGAGAGAGCUUGGAAAGAGGACAAGGAAGGGAAGGAGUAGGAGUAGAAAAGCAUGACUUUGGCUGGAGAUGGGGUCUCGUUAUGUUGACCAGGCUGGUCUUGAACACCUGACCUGAAGUGAUCCUCUUGCCUCAGCCUCCCAUAGUGCUGCGAUCACAGGUGUAAGUCACUGAGUUUGGCCAUUAUUCCAUUUCUGUACACAAAAACCUUUCUCAUUCUGUGCUAUAACUAGUUAGCAUUUAAUUGGGUGGAUGUGGUAUAACUAGUGCCUUGUUGAUAUUGAUGCAUAUUUACAUGGUUUUGCUGUUAUAAACAAUGGUCCCUUGCUAUUAUAAAUCACACUGCUAUAAGUAACCUUGCAUCUAAAUUACUUCAAAUGUGUAACUAUAUGGGUAGGAUAAUUUCUAGAAGUGGAAUUGUGAACCAAAGUUUUAGGUGCAUUUGUAAUUUUGAUUUAUAACCAAUCUUUUCACUGAUCUACUUCUCUGCCUCUAAUUUCUACUAGGUGUUUGUUUGUUUGUUUGUUUGUUUUGAGACAGGGUCUUGCUCUGUCACCCAGGCUGGAGGACAGUGGUGCAAUCACGGCUCACUGCAGCCUCAACCUGCCACCUCAGCCUCCUGAAUAGUUGGGGUGUGUGGCAGGUGUAUACCACCACUUCCAGGUUUUUUUGUUGUUGUUGUUUAAUAGAGAUGAGGUCUUGCUAUAUUGCCCAGGCAGGUCUCACACUACUGAGCGCAAGCGAUCCUCCUGCCUAUGCCUCCCAAAGUGCUGGGAUUACAGGUGUGAGUUGCCAUGCCUGGCCCGGUUAUCUUUCUAAAGCAUAAAGCAACCCUGUUGAUCCUCUGCUUAAUUUUGAUGAUUAAGUAGUAUGUUCAAAAUAUAGAAAUCCAUGUAUUGAUAAUGAUCUUUUAAAAAAAGUAAAAGCCAAAAUAUCAGCUACUCAUCCUACACCAUUGAAAGUAGUGACCAUUAAACUGCUCUACCUCUACCUCCACCUCUCUACCUCUCUACCUCUCUACCUCUACCUCUACCCACGGUCUCCCUCUCUUUCCAUGGUCUCCCUCUCAUGUGGAGCCGAAGCUGGACUGUACUGCUGCCAUCUCGGCUCACUGCAACCUCCCUGCCUGAUUCUCCUGCCUCAGCCUGCCGAGUGCCUGCGAUUGCAGGCACGCGCUGCCACGCCUGACUGGUUUUGGUGGAGACGGGGUUUCGCUGUGUUGGCCGGGCCGGUCUCCAGCCCCUAACCGCGAGUGAUCCGCCAGCCUCGGCCUCCCGAGGUGCCGGGAUUGCAGACGGAGUCUCGUUCACUCAGUGCUCAAUGGUGCCCAGGCUGGAGUGCAGUGGCGUGAUCUCGGCUCGCUACAACCUACACCUCCCAGCCGCCUGCCUUGGCCUCCCAAAGUGCCGAGAUUGCAGCCUCUGCCCAGCCGCCACCCCGUCUGGGAAGUGAGGAGUGUCUCUGCCUGGCCGCCCAUCGUCUGGGAUGUGAGGAGCCCCUCUGCCUGGCUGCCCAGUCUGGAAAGUGAGGAGCGUCUCCGCCCGGCCGCCAUCCCAUCUAGGAAGUGAGGAGUGCCUCUUCCCAGCCGCCAUCACAUCUAGGAAGUGAGGAGCGUCUCUGCCCGGCCGCCCAUCGUCUGAGAUGUGGGGAGCGCCUCUGCCCCGCCGCCCCAUCUGGGAUGUGAGGAGCGCCUCUGCCCGGCCGCGACCCCGUCUGGGAGGUGCAUGCCUUCCUUAUUUCUCAUACUCAUCACCUCCUCUUCCCGCUUGGAACUGCCCACACUGGUGAUUUCCUUGUUAAGGAACUUGAUGGCGUUGUGCAUGCUCGCUGACAGGGGACGGCACUGAGUCAGGAAGCUAUAAUACAACAGCAAUACCUUAUAUCUGCGCAACUCUUCACAACUUACAAAGCCUUCACAUUUAAAAAAAAAGUCUUUAAAAAGAAAAUAGAACACAAAAUGAAAAGAGAGAUAGAAAAGCAGGAAAAAGAGUACAAGACAAAGAUUGGGCGAGCUGGGAGUGGACUUAUAGUGUUGUCCCUACCUCAUGUAGGGUUUUAGUUUAUUCACUAGAUCCCUGGAGAGUUCUUCAUUAGGCGGUGUUGUGUAAUCCUGAAUCACCUAUAGGGUACACAAGGUGAUCUGCAAAAUACCCCUUAAUAAAGAUCUCUGAACGGGG
This 2343-nucleotide long non-coding RNA is filed under the name Homo sapiens (human). RNAcentral describes it as "GTF3C2 antisense RNA 2, transcript variant 10 (GTF3C2-AS2)". Lineage: Eukaryota; Metazoa; Chordata; Mammalia; Primates; Hominidae. The record is from RNAcentral.